AAGUAGUGGUGGCGCCUGGUAGGACUAGAAGGCGCGGAGGCUGCAAAGAUCGGAUGGUUGAAGGAGUUGACUAUAGUUGCAUUGUUAGCAAGGGAUGCAUUGGAAUUUCUGGUGGGAGAAGAGAGCGGAGGAGUUACUGGGGCACUGUUGGAUAUCCUAAGAGGAGGCAAGUUUGUGGGGAUUGAAGCUAUGUUACGGAGUAAAGGAAGGAGGUAUGCUGAUGGGUUGGCUUCAAAACGAGAAGGACUUGGGAAUGAUGAUGAUGUUGGGCUAGCUUGGUAGGAAAUCACCGGACUUUGGAAGUUUGAAGUUUGUGGACUUGGCUGAAUGGAUGAACCUCCGCUAAAGCUUAGUGGAGUUCCUGCAAUUUCACCAGGCAGCGGCUUGCACCCCUGAGAACAGAUCAUAAAACAUCAAUCAUCACCAAGACAGUAUAUUCAACCAAAUUGGGAUCUCCAAAAUCAUUACAAUAAGAUUAAUCUAGAUGCCAAACAGAUGUUAUGCAGAUUCAGAUUUCCUUUCGGAGAAACACAGAGACAGCCAUUGAAUGAAGUUAUAUCAGGCUAAUCUGAUUCAAUAAUGGAGCAGCAAUGAUUGUGAUUAAGAGUAAGCAUUUAAGGAAUACAGAAACAGAAACGAGGCAAAACCUUGCGGUAAGUAGUACCGUCUUCUUCAACGAAUUUCUCUUCUUCCUCCUCACACUGACGAACCCAACAAUUUUGAAACCCUUUUGUUCAAGUUUGCAUCUUGCCCUUCUUCUUUUUCGUCUUCUUCUUCUCCUUCUCCAACCCACUGAGAAGAGUCGAAGAAAGAUUACUGUGCUGAAUAGGAAAUCAGAGAAUCACAAGUUAGAAAUCGAGAGAGAAAUGAAAGUUCGAAGAAAUUGGGUUCAUUUUGUGCCGAUUGGAAAAGGAUUAAUUUUUACCAGUAUAAAGCAAAAUGAAUGCGCAGUGAGUGUCGCUCUCUCCAGCCUCUCCCUUCAAACUAUUGGUAGGGAAGAAUCUGCUUAUUCACUUCUGAGUUCUUUCUGACUGCCAUCUCGCUCAUUUGUUUACAGAAUUUACCAUUUUUUGCCACUGCUUCGACAUUUUUACUUGUAAGUAACUUUGAGAUAAUAUUAUUUUUCUAUUUUUUAUUUUACCAAAAUAACAAUUAGACCUCUAUAUUAUUAAAUAUUAUUUUCCCUCUUUUAUUUUACCAAUUUGCUAAAUAUUUUCUUUUGUUAUUAUUGCCGUCCAUAUUUCGUUAAAUCAUGUUGAAUUAUUAUGACACGUCAGCCUCAUAUGCCACAUGGCCUAUGACUGGAUUUUUGUUAUUUUAUUAUUUUUAACAAAAUAAUUUUUAUUUUUAACAUAUUAGAUUGAUGUGUAAUUGAAUCUUUUUUAUAUAUUCAGAUUGACAAAUAAAAAUAUAAUAUUGUAUGUAUCAAUAUAAAAAUCAUCAAUAAAUUUUCAUCAAUCAUCAAAUAAAACCAUGUAAUUCACAAAGUAAACUUCAUAAUUUUCUAAAAUUAUUGAAAAUAAUAUUUCCAAACAUGUUACUAGUUAGAAGUGAACAUCUGUUUCUGUUAUUAGCACUAUAGACAUUCAUAUCAGGGGGGAAUGCUUGAUGUGUAUGGUAAGAUCCUUAGAGAAGAAAUGGAAACUGGAAUGCCUCUACUCAUACUGUCAAUACACAUAAUCAAGGAUGGGAUAGAGUGUAUACAACCUUACCAAAUCACUUUGAUCUCAGUCGCAUACUAAUGAUCAUCAGCAGCCAGUAAUUCUAGAAAACAAAGUACUCCAGCUGCUGCUAUGGCUUCAGCCUUUCAGGUGGAACUGUACAAUCUGAAUACAAAGAACAGGAACAUGAAACCAGAAUCCUAACCCCGCGCCUUUCCGCUUGCAAGCGUGAGUUCGAGAUCAUCCGUGCCCAUCUCGUGUAUCCGCUCACCUUCCCAAGGCUUGACCUUUCUAUUCCCGAACUCGAACUCAGAGCUUCUCACAUUGUCAACUCCACUCGCAGCAGCAUUUACAUUCGCUCCCACCACGGGUCUAACGAGGUUGAAAGUAGGGGAAACGGGGAUCGUUUGGGAAGAAGGAACACCUUGGAAAGACAGCCACCGGCCAGAAUCGAUAAUGGAGCCAUCAGAUUCAUCGCAUUCGGGUAUGGGUUGGAAGUAGUGGUGGCGCCUGGUAGGACUAGAAGGCGCGGAGGCUGCAAAGAUCGGAUGGUUGAAGGAGUUGACUAUAGUUGCAUUGUUAGCAAGGGAUGCAUUGGAAUUUCUGGUGGGAGAAGAGAGCGGAGGAGUUACUGGGGCACUGUUGGAUAUCCUAAGAGGAGGCAAGUUUGUGGGGAUUGAAGCUAUGUUACGGAGUAAAGGAAGGAGGUAUGCUGAUGGGUUGGCUUCAAAACGAGAAGGACUUGGGAAUGAUGAUGAUGUUGGGCUAGCUUGGUAGGAAAUCACCGGACUUUGGAAGUUUGAAGAUUGUGGACUUGGUUGAAUGGAUGAACCUCCGCUAAAGCUUAGUGGAGUUCCUGCAAUUUCACCAGGCAGCG
Molecule: long non-coding RNA, 2538 nt
Filed under: Linum usitatissimum (flax)
Lineage: Eukaryota; Viridiplantae; Streptophyta; Magnoliopsida; Malpighiales; Linaceae
Description: long non-coding RNA (LUSI_LNC004623)
Source: RNAcentral